This 61-nucleotide transfer RNA is filed under the name Limenitis archippus (viceroy). Its description in RNAcentral is "tRNA-Ser". Lineage: Eukaryota; Metazoa; Arthropoda; Insecta; Lepidoptera; Nymphalidae. The record is from RNAcentral.
GAAAUAUAUGACAAUUAAGCUGCUAACUUAAUUUUUAGUGAAUAAAAUCAUUAAUAUUUCU